GCCUGGGUAGCUCAGUGGUUUAGCGCCUGCCUUCAGCCCAGGGAGUGAUCCUGGAGACUCGGGAUUGAGUCCCACCUCAGGCU
This 83-nucleotide transfer RNA is filed under the name Canis lupus familiaris (dog). It matches the Rfam family "tRNA". From Rfam's summary of the family: Transfer RNA (tRNA) molecules are approximately 80 nucleotides in length. Their secondary structure includes four short double-helical elements and three loops (D, anti-codon, and T loops). The record is from Rfam by way of RNAcentral. Lineage: Eukaryota; Metazoa; Chordata; Mammalia; Carnivora; Canidae. RNAcentral also lists the same sequence under 1 other name.